AUUGAACGCUGGCGGCAUGCCUUACAGAUGCAAGUCGAACGGUAACAGGUCUUCGGAUGCUGACGAGUGGCGAACGGGUGAGUAAUACAUCGGAACGUGCCCGAUCGUGGGGGAUAACGGAGCGAAAGCUUUGCUAAUACCGCAUACGAUCUACGGAUGAAAGCAGGGGACCGCAAGGCCUUGCGCGGACGGAGCGGCCGAUGGCAGAUUAGGUAGUUGGUGGGAUAAAAGCUUACCAAGCCGACGAUCUGUAGCUGGUCUGAGAGGACGACCAGCCACACUGGGACUGAGACACGGCCCAGACUCCUACGGGAGGCAGCAGUGGGGAAUUUUGGACAAUGGGCGAAAGCCUGAUCCAGCCAUGCCGCGUGCAGGAUGAAGGCCUUCGGGUUGUAAACUGCUUUUGUACGGAACGAAAAGACUCUUUCUAAUAAAGAGGGUCCAUGACGGUACCGUAAGAAUAAGCACCGGCUAACUACGUG
RNAcentral lists this ribosomal RNA (482 nucleotides) under uncultured bacterium. RNAcentral describes it as "partial 16S ribosomal RNA". It matches the Rfam family "Bacterial small subunit ribosomal RNA", at positions 30 to 507 of the family's 1533-position model. The record is from RNAcentral.